CAAGGAUUAGGUAAGUUCUUCCCGCGGUAGACUUCAAAUACUCUUUGUCCUGCCCCUGCUUGGCGAAAUUUACCGAAAUUAUCUACCUAUCCCGCUGGAGUGGGAGCCGGGGGAGAGCUGGAACCGCGUCUCUGCUGCUCACCUUUGUGUCCUUAGCUCCUUCGCAUGGGGUCCGACCGCAACACGUGCGCUGGAUAAACGCUUGUUAACUGGAGCUCCCUCUUUGCCCACUAGCAGGGCAUUAGCUGGUGCUGAAGACAGUGGCUGCUUGGCGAGCCUGGAUCUCCAAGUGACUCCAAGUGACCCCCUCAGCAACUCCUGAUGAACAGGACUGAAGCCAAUAUUAAAGCAAGUCAACCAAAGAUUCUCUGGUGUAGACAAGACAGCAAAAGGACAGACUACCUUGUGGAACCUAGCAUUGUUCUCCUUCUGCAGCACUAAGUAACAUUUGUGCUCCGUUAAGAUCUUUGCAAACCACACACAAGAAUUGCUGGUCAUCCUGCCAAUAGAUGCUGCUCACAGAACCAAAUUUCCUGUGCUGAAUUGUCACUCAUGGGCUUGAGAGUAGGAGACUGGAGACCAAGGUGGCUAGAAUCCAGUUGGGCCUGAUGUCUCCCUGUUGAAAGGGCUCCUUGUGGAAUAAACAGCACAUGGCUCCCGUGGUGGAUCUGAUAGUGGCACAGCACCAAGUGAUGCAGGCCUGCCAGGGGCCACAGACACAGAAGAUGCUCCCAGGGUCCCCCGUGUACUCCAGACACACUGCAGGCCACCUCUCCCAGCAGGUUGCCAGUCAUGGGCCCCAUCAUCAUGACUUCUGUCCAAGGUGUGCUCGGAAAUCUCUUCCUUAACUGUGACUUUCUGACAGGUGGAGGAUGUGGUCAGGAGUGGGAAAAGGAUUCGAGACGGGAAGAGGGAGGGGUUCAGGAUGAAGAGAGAUAAUCUGUGCCACAGAUGCUGGCCCUGCAGUUAGCUCCCACCUAGUCCGUGCACACACAUUCUAAUCCCCUCGCAUUCCUCUACAUGCUGCAGCCAGAGAGGCCUUUCUCAAAGUGGAAGUCGCAUCCUCACUUCUCUGGUUACAGUGCUGGGCCAUGGGUAACUUACAAGGCUUAGCAGGAACUGUCUGCGCACUCCCCCUUCCUGCCCACUGCCUUGUUUCCCUCCAGUUGCGAGAGCAAACAUUGAUUGAGCAUUAACUAUGUGCCAGGCUUGUCCUAAGUCCUUUGCAUGUAUUCACUCAAACAAUCCUCACAACAUUCCUCUCACAUCUCCCAUUUCACAGUGAGGGUUCUAAAGCACGUAGUGGGUGAGGAACUUGUCCGGGGUCACACAACUAAGUGGGGGUGGAGAAACAUCAAAUCUGAGUGGUCCAGGUGGUGGCCAGAACCCAUCAGCACCUCACUACAGCUGCCUCCAGUUUCUCGCUCUAGGAAAUACUCUUCCCUGUCAACUCCUGUUGUCCUCUGGGCUCAGUUGACAUGUCAUCUCCUUGAGGAGGACAUCCUGAGAUGCUCCCCGACUAGGGUGGGCACCCACUUCCACACUCCAAAUGCCUAUUUGACCUGUGUAUCGCUGCAUCCCCACUGCCUGGCAGAUAGCAGGCCCCUAAUAAAUAUGAUUUGAGCAAAUAAAUAUAGUUCUUCAAAAAAUAGGGAGGACUUCUUGUUUCAGGUAAUGGUAGGCUAGGACAUUUGGACCAACCCUCCUGCAGAAAAUAGCCAUUUAUUUUGAUGCAAUAUAUCUGGCUAUGACUAGAGAUUUCAAAUAUUUGGAGGGCUAUUAUGUGAAGAAUUAAACUUACUCUUUGUGACAUAGAGGUCAGAAACUGGUCAUUUCCAUAGAGUAUGAGAGACACAGAAUUGUGCUCAUCAUAAGUAUCUUUUUUAAAAAUUAGACUUAAUGAAAUGGGCUGCCUUGGUAGGUGGUGAGUUCUCUGUCACGAAAGAGAUUCAGCCACUUGCUCUGAGAAAGCAUGGAGAAUAUCAACAUUGUAAGGGUCGACCACCUCAUCUCUGAGGCCCCCUCCUCACUUAGGUUGCCAUUGCAGGUGGAACACUGGGCUGAGUGUCAAAGAACCUGGGUUCCACAAGCUGUGCAACCAUGGCUGGUUGUUUUGGAUCUCAUUCCUAAUAUCUGUUAGUUAAGCUGACCCGUCGAUACUGACCCACUUCACAGAGUUAUGAAGGGAUUAAAUUAGGUAUUACAUAUAAAUCUUUGUUUUGUUUCCUUUUUGUUGUUUUUUUGUUUUGCUUUUUUCUUUGCAUUAUGGAAAUC
This 2274-nucleotide long non-coding RNA is filed under the name Pan troglodytes (chimpanzee). Its description in RNAcentral is "long non-coding RNA NONPTRT015079". The record is from RNAcentral. Lineage: Eukaryota; Metazoa; Chordata; Mammalia; Primates; Hominidae.